AUUGAACGCUGGCGGCAUGCCUUACACAUGCAAGUCGAACGGUAACAGGUCUUCGGAUGCUGUCGAGUGGCGAACGGGUGAGUAAUACAUCGGAACGUGCCCGAUCGUGGGGGAUAACGAGGCGAAAGCUUUGCUAAUACCGCAUACGAUCUACGGAUGAAAGCGGGGGAUCUUCGGACCUCGCGCGGACGGAGCGGCCGAUGGCAGAUUAGGUCGUUGGUGGGAUAAAAGCUUACCAAGCCGACGAUCUGUAGCUGGUCUGAGAGGAUGAUCAGCCACACUGGGACUGAGACACGGCCCAGACUCCUACGGGAGGCAGCAGUGGGGAAUUUUGGAAAAUGGGCGAAAGCCUGAUCCAGCCAUGCCGCGUGCAGGAUGAAGGCCUUUGGGUUGUAAACUGCUUUUGUACGGAACGAAAAGCCUCUUUCUAAUAAAGAGGGGUCAUGACGGUACCGUAAGAAUAAGCACCGGCUAACUACGUG
Molecule: ribosomal RNA, 482 nt
Filed under: uncultured bacterium
Lineage: Bacteria
Description: partial 16S ribosomal RNA
Rfam family: Bacterial small subunit ribosomal RNA
Source: RNAcentral